RNAcentral lists this transfer RNA (73 nucleotides) under Salmo salar (Atlantic salmon). It matches the Rfam family "tRNA". From Rfam's summary of the family: Transfer RNA (tRNA) molecules are approximately 80 nucleotides in length. Their secondary structure includes four short double-helical elements and three loops (D, anti-codon, and T loops). Further hydrogen bonds mediate the characteristic L-shaped molecular structure. tRNAs have two regions of fundamental functional importance: the anti-codon, which is responsible for specific mRNA codon recognition, and the 3' end, to which the tRNAs corresponding amino acid is attached (by aminoacyl-tRNA synthetases). tRNAs cope with the degeneracy of the genetic code in two manners: having more than one tRNA (with a specific anti-codon) for a particular amino acid; and 'wobble' base-pairing, i.e. permitting non-standard base-pairing at the 3rd anti-codon position. The record is from Rfam by way of RNAcentral. RNAcentral also lists the same sequence under 1 other name. Lineage: Eukaryota; Metazoa; Chordata; Actinopteri; Salmoniformes; Salmonidae.
UGUGGUCCAGCUCAGUUGUUAGAGCAUGGCGCUUGCAAUGCCAGGAUAGUGGGUUCAAUUCCCGGGAUCACCC